This is a long non-coding RNA of Acanthopagrus latus (yellowfin seabream), 1092 nucleotides long. RefSeq lists it as uncharacterized. The record is from RefSeq and is a predicted model, not a curated record. NCBI's taxonomy places the organism in Eukaryota, Metazoa, Chordata, Actinopteri, Spariformes, Sparidae. The transcript has 3 exons.
CUCAAUCUGUCAUCUGAAAAUGGAAAGAGUAUUGCGCAACACCUAAACUGACAGGCUGGGCAAGGAGAGCAUUGAUUAGACAAGCAGCCAAGAGGCCCAUGAUAACUCUGGAGGAACUGCAGAGAUCCACAGCUCAGAGCCACCACAUGCACCGGCCUUGCCUGUUGUCUCCUCAGAAACCCAGCUCUGGACUAUACAGAGGACUUUCUGGGAGCUGCUCUUUGUGAGUGGCUUCCUGUCACAGCUGCAUUCGAUUCAAGACAAUUCAAGGCCGUCAAAAGAACUGCACCCAUCUACCUCUAAAUACUGACCAGACCACUGCGCAAGCACCUUGCUCCACUACAUCAGCUGGCUGCUGGUAUACCACCAUCGCUGCAAACAAAGGUUGCUCAGCAAAGGCAAGGCUCUUCUCUGUUCUUGCGCCUCAGUGGUGGAAUUAAUUCCUGAUCAAUGUCAGGACAGCAGAUUUACUCGUGUUCUUCCGCAAAAGACUCAAGACUCACUUCACCUCCAACCCACAUAGCAUGCCCUUGUCCCCCCACUCCAAAAUUGACAUGCACUUGUAUGUACUCACCCUUAGCACUUAAAUCACAGCACUGAUGUACUUACUAAAUAGCAGCUGCCAUGCUCAGAGGAGGGCUUGAAAAUUGUGUUAUGUUGUUAUGGUUUCUUCCUAGUACUUUGUACUUGUACAAAUGUAAGUAAUUUUUGACAAAAGCGUCUGCUAAAUGCACUUUUGUAAAUGUUGAAGAGGCAUUCCUGUCUGUACAGUGAAGUGGGGUAAUGUAGAGAGGAGGGAGCAGGAAGCUAGCUAAAACAACACUGGCAGCAGCUUUAACUAUAGAAUAUAGAACAUUUUUACCUCAUUUUCUCAUGUGUAUUAAAGGAUCUAAUCAGGUUUAUAACAGCAUCUGGUGUAAAGCCAUAAUGAAACCUUGUGUAUUAUAGCGUUCAUAAUCAACAUCUGAGGAAACACAUUGCACAGUAAUAGACAGGCCAAACCAGCAAUAAGUCAACAGGAUACAUGAGACUGACUCCAGGGCAUGUGUCAGACAGCCCAUUUCAAAUGAAUGUAUCGAUGAAUAAAGCUGA